GACGAACUUUGGCGGCGUGCUUAACACAUGCAAGCCGAACGGAAAGGCCCUGCUUUUGUGGGGUGCUCGAGUGGCGAACGGGUGAGUAACACGUGAGUAACCUGCCCUUGACUUUGGGAUAACUUCAGGAAACUGGGGCUAAUACCGGAUAGGAGCUCCUGCUGCAUGGUGGGGGUUGGAAAGUUUCGGCGGUUGGGGAUGGACUCGCGGCUUAUCAGCUUGUUGGUGGGGUAGUGGCUUACCAAGGCUUUGACGGGUAGCCGGCCUGAGAGGGUGACCGGCCACAUUGGGACUGAGAUACGGCCCAGACUCCUACGGGAGGCAGCAGUGGGGAAUAUUGCACAAUGGGCGGAAGCCUGAUGCAGCAACGCCGCGUGCGGGAUGACGGCCUUCGGGUUGUAAACCGCUUUCGCCUGUGACGAAGCGUGAGUGACGGUAAUGGGUAAAGAAGCACCGGCUAACUACGUGCCAGCAGCCGCGGUGAUACGUAGGGUGCGAGCGUUGUCCGGAUUUAUUGGGCGUAAAGGGCUCGUAGGUGGUUGAUCGCGUCGGAAGUGUAAUCUUGGGGCUUAACCCUGAGCGUGCUUUCGAUACGGGUUGACUUGAGGAAGGUAGGGGAGAAUGGAAUUCCUGGUGGAGCGGUGGAAUGCGCAGAUAUCAGGAGGAACACCAGUGGCGAAGGCCGGUUCUCUGGGCCUUUCCUGACGCUGAGGAGCGAAAGCGUGGGGAGCGAACAGGCUUAGAUACCCUGGUAGUCCACGCUGUAAACGGUGGGUACUAGGUGUGGGGUCCAUUCCACGGGUUCCGUGCCGUAGCUAACGCUUUAAGUACCCCGCCUGGGAGUACGGCCGCAAGGCUAAAACUCAAAGGAAUUGGCGGGGCCCCGCACAAGCGGCGGAGCAUGCGGAUUAAUUCGAUGCAACGCGUAGAACCUUACCUGGGUUUGACAUGGAUCGGGAGUGCUCAGAGAUGGGUGUGCCUCUUUUGGGGUCGGUUCACAGGUGGUGCAUGGCUGUCGUCAGCUCGUGUCGUGAGAUGUUGGGUUAAGUCCCGCAACGAGCGCAACCCUUGUUCACUGUUGCCAGCACGUUAUGGUGGGGACUCAGUGGAGACCGCCGGGGUCAACUCGGAGGAAGGUGGGGAUGACGUCAAGUCAUCAUGCCCCUUAUGUCCAGGGCUUCACGCAUGCUACAAUGGCUGGUACAGAGAGUGGCGAGCCUGUGAGGGUGAGCGAAUCUCGGAAAGCCGGUCUCAGUUCGGAUUGGGGUCUGCAACUCGACCUCAUGAAGUCGGAGUCGCUAGUAAUCGCAGAUCAGCAACGCUGCGGUGAAUACGUUCCCGGGGCU
Molecule: ribosomal RNA, 1346 nt
Filed under: uncultured bacterium
Lineage: Bacteria
Description: partial 16S ribosomal RNA
Rfam family: Bacterial small subunit ribosomal RNA
Source: RNAcentral